RNAcentral lists this ribosomal RNA (483 nucleotides) under uncultured bacterium. Its description in RNAcentral is "partial 16S ribosomal RNA". It matches the Rfam family "Bacterial small subunit ribosomal RNA", at positions 30 to 507 of the family's 1533-position model. The record is from RNAcentral.
UUGCACGCUGGCGGCAUGCCUUACACAUGCCAGUCGCACGGCAGCGCGGACUUCGGUCUGGCGGCGAGUGGCGAACGGGUGAGUAAUACAUCGGAACGUACCCUGUUGUGGGGGAUAACUAGUCGAAAGAUUAGCUAAUACCGCAUACGACCUGAGGGUGAAAGUGGGGGACCGCAAGGCCUCACGCAGCAGGAGCGGCCGAUGUCUGAUUAGCUAGUUGGUGGGGUAAAGGCCCACCAAGGCGACGAUCAGUAGCUGGUCUGAGAGGACGAUCAGCCACACUGGGACUGAGACACGGCCCAGACUCCUACGGGAGGCAGCAGUGGGGAAUUUUGGACAAUGGGGGCAACCCUGAUCCAGCAAUGCCGCGUGUGUGAAGAAGGCCUUCGGGUUGUAAAGCACUUUUGUCCGGAAAGAAAUCGCGCUGGUUAAUACCUGGCGUGGAUGACGGUACCGGAAGAAUAAGCACCGGCUAACUACGUG